Molecule: ribosomal RNA, 480 nt
Filed under: uncultured organism
Description: bacterial SSU rRNA
Rfam family: Bacterial small subunit ribosomal RNA
Source: RNAcentral
GAUGAACGCUGGCGGCGUGCCUAACACAUGCAAGUCGAGCGGUAUAUACUUAAACAAAUCUUCGGAAGAGUGAGAGUAUAGAGAGCGGCGGACGGGUGAGUAACGCGUAGGCAACCUGCCCCAUACAGAGGGAUAGCCUCGGGAAACCGGGAUUAAAACCUCAUAACGCGAAGAAGUCACAUGGCUUUUUCGCCAAAGAUUUAUCGGUAUGGGAUGGGCCUGCGUCUGAUUAGCUAGUUGGUGGGGUAACGGCUCACCAAGGCAACGAUCAGUAGCCGACCUGAGAGGGUAAUCGGCCACAUUGGAACUGAGACACGGUCCAAACUCCUACGGGAGGCAGCAGUGGGGAAUAUUGCACAAUGGGCGAAAGCCUGAUGCAGCAACGCCGCGUGAGCGAUGAAGGCCUUUGGGUCGUAAAGCUCUGUCCUUGGGGAAGAAUAAAUGACGGUACCCUUGGAGGAAGCCCCGGCUAACUACGUG